CAAUAGCGUAUAUUAACGUUGUUGCAGUUAAAAAGCUCGUAGUUGGAUUUCUGGAGGGAGCGUCGGCCCGUAUUUACGAGUGCGUGACGUCUCUGUCCAUCCUUGCGGGAAGGCACGGCAUUGAUUUGUUGUGUCGGAUCGCAUCAUUUACUGUGAAAAAAUUAGAGUGUUCAAAGCAGGCUUUCGCUUGAAUACAUUAGCAUGGAAUAAUAAGAUAGGACUUUGGUGCUGUUUUGUUGGUUGAGCCUAAAGUAAUGAUUAAUAGGGAUAGUUGGGGGCACCUGUAUUGCGUUGUCAGAGGUGAAAUUCUUGGAUUUACGCAAGACAAACAGCUGCGAAAGCGUCUGCCAAGGAUGUUUNCAUUAA
This 366-nucleotide ribosomal RNA is filed under the name uncultured eukaryote. Its description in RNAcentral is "partial 18S ribosomal RNA". It matches the Rfam family "Eukaryotic small subunit ribosomal RNA", at positions 592 to 976 of the family's 1831-position model. The record is from RNAcentral.